Non-coding RNA from Mustela lutreola (European mink), 2072 nucleotides. The record is from the annotation of a RefSeq genome assembly. Lineage: Eukaryota; Metazoa; Chordata; Mammalia; Carnivora; Mustelidae.
GAUUUCCAGGUGUUUACAUUCACUGAGCAGGCAGAACACAGAGAACUCACCAUGGAGUUUGUGCUGGGCUGGGUUUUCCUUGUUGCUCUUUUACAAGGUGUCCAGUGUGAGGUGCAGCUGGUGGAGUCUGGGGGAGACCUGGUGAUGCCAGGGGGGUCCCUGAGACUCUCCUGUGCAGCCUCUGGAUUCACCUUCAGCAGCUACGGCAUGAGCUGGGUCCGCCAGGCUGCAGGGAUGGGCCUGCAGUGGGUCGCAGUUAUUAGCAGUGAUGGAAGUAGCACAAGAUACGCAGACUCUGUGAAGGGCCGAUUCACCAUCUCCAGAGACAACAGCAAGAACACGCUGUAUCUGCAGAUGAACAGCCUGAGAGCCGUGGACACGGCCAUGUAUUACUGUGUGAGAGACACAUGUGGCCAUGACUACUUGGACGUCUGGGGCCAGGGCACCCUGGUGACCGUCUCCUCAGAGAACCCAUCCCCUCCAAACCUCUUCCCCCUCAUCACCUGUGAGAGUUUCCAGUCCGAUGAGACCCUGGUGGCCAUGGGCUGUCUGGCCGGGGACUUCCUGCCCGACACCGUCACCUUCUCCUGGACCUACAAGAAUGACAGUGAGGUCAGCAGGCAGAACGUCAAGUACUUCCCGUCGGUUCUGAGAGAGGGCAAGUACGUGGCCACCUCCCAGGUGUUCCUGCCGUCCGUCGACGUCCUCCAGGGCUCCGAGGACUACCUCACCUGCAAGGUCAAGCACACGAAGGGUAACAAGUCCGUGCACGUGCCCCUCCCAGCAGCAGCCGUAGAACUGCCCCCCAACGUGACCGUCUUCAUCCCGCCCCGCGACGCCUUCUCUGGCAACGGCCAGCGCACGUCCCAGCUCCUGUGCCAGGCCAGGGGCUUCAGCCCCAAGCAGAUCUCCGUGUCCUGGUUUCGUGACGGAAAGCCGCUCGCGUCCGGCAUCGACACUGGCAAGGUGGAGGCCGACGGGAAAGUGUCCGGGACAGUGACCUACAGAGUGCUCAGCACGCUGACCAUCACCGAGAGCGCCUGGCUCAGCCAGAGCGUGUUCACCUGCCAAGUGGAGCACAGCGGCGUGACCUCCGAGAGGAACGUGUCCUCCGUGUGCACCUCCAACCCAGCCGUGGGCAUCAGAGUCUUCACCAUCCCCCCGUCCUUUGCCAGCAUCUUCCUCACCAAGUCGGCCAAGCUGUCCUGCCUGGUCACAGACCUGGGCACCUACGACAGCCUGACCAUCACCUGGACACGCCAGAACGGCGAGCCUCUGAAAACGCACACCAACAUCUCCGAGAGCCACCCCAACAUCACCUUCAGCGCCAUGGGGGAGGCCACGGCCUGUGUGGAGGACUGGGAGUCAGGGGAGCAGUUCACCUGCACGGUGACCCACACGGACCUGCCCUCGCCACUGAAGAAGACCAUCUCCAGGCCCAAGGGGGUCCCCAAGCACAUGCCGUCUGUGUACGUCCUGCCGCCAAGCCGGGAGCAGCUGAGCCUGCGGGAGUCAGCCUCGGUCACCUGCCUGGUGACGGGCUUCUCUCCCCCAGACGUGUUUGUUCAAUGGCUGCAGAAGGGGCAGCCCGUGCCCCCCAACACCUACGUGACCAGUGCUCCGAUGCCCGAGCCGCAAGCCCCCGGCCUCUACUUUGUGCACAGCACCCUGACCGUGAGCGAGGAGGACUGGAGCGCCGGCGAGACCUACACCUGUGUAGUCGGCCACGAGGUCCUGCCCCACAUGGUGACCGAGCGGAGCGUGGACAAGUCCACCGAGGGAGAGGUGAGCGCUGAGGAGGAAGACUUCGAGAACCUGAACACCGUGACGUCCACCUUCAUCGUCCUCUUCCUCCUCAGCGUCUUCUACAGCACCACAGUGACGCUGUUCAAGGUGAAAUGACCGGCCCGCGGAGACCUUCAGAGGCCCGGGACGUGGACCCGGGGUGGGCAGCCCGCGGAGCCCGGCAGCGCGUCCUCAGACCUACCCGCCACCCCGCUUCCAGCUCAAAGACUCGGCCUGUGCAGUGUACCCGCGUGUCGCCUUCCAAUAAACGUGUAUAUUUUAUCCUA